UAAAUACUCCGUUCGUCCGGAAAUACUUGUCAUCAAAAUGAAUAGGAGGGGAUGUAUCUAGAUGUAUAUUAGUUCUAGAUACAUCCCUUUUUAUCCAUUUUGAUGACAAAUAUUUUCGGACGGAGGGAUUAUAAC
This is a non-coding RNA of Triticum aestivum (bread wheat), 135 nucleotides long. The record is from Rfam. Lineage: Eukaryota; Viridiplantae; Streptophyta; Magnoliopsida; Poales; Poaceae.